GGAGACAAGCUCGUUUUUGAAUUACAGAAGGUGUACUCAGCGAGUUUCAUUUACUACAGCAUCUGCCCAUUCCUGAGCCUUCACGUAAACAAAAAAAACCAUUGAUGAGGUUUUUUGAUCUGGAAUCUUUCAGAGCAAAGCUGAUGUGCGUAAAGAUUCAAGAGGAGGCUAUUCUAGCAGGACUUGGUAAACAUAGGCAAAGCAGUUGCAAUGCCG
This is a long non-coding RNA of Hypanus sabinus (Atlantic stingray), 216 nucleotides long. RefSeq lists it as uncharacterized. The record is from RefSeq and is a predicted model, not a curated record. NCBI's taxonomy places the organism in Eukaryota, Metazoa, Chordata, Chondrichthyes, Myliobatiformes, Dasyatidae. The transcript is spliced from 3 exons.